This 473-nucleotide ribosomal RNA is filed under the name uncultured bacterium. Its description in RNAcentral is "SSU rRNA". It matches the Rfam family "Bacterial small subunit ribosomal RNA", at positions 26 to 518 of the family's 1533-position model. The record is from RNAcentral.
AGGACGAACGCUGGCGGCGUGCUUAACGACAUGCAAGUCGAGCGGAAAGGCCCUUCGGGGUACUCGAGCGGCGAACGGGUGAGUAACACGUGAGCAAUCUGCCCUUAGCUUCGGGAUAGCUCCGGGAAACCGGAAUUAAUACCGAAUAUGACUUCGGCCGACAUCGGCUGCGGUGGAAAGUUUUUCGGCUAGGGAUGAGCUCGCGGCCUAUCAGCUUGUUGGUGGGGUAAUGGCCUACCAAGGCGACGACGGGUAGCCGGCCUGAGAGGGCGACCGGCCACACUGGGACUGAGACACGGCCCAGACUCCUACGGGAGGCAGCAGUGGGGAAUAUUGCGCAAUGGGCGAAAGCCUGACGCAGCGACGCCGCGUGGGGGAUGAAGGCCUUCGGGUUGUAACCCUUUCAGCAGGGACGAAGCGAAAGUGACGGUACCUGCAGAAGAAGCGCCGGCUAACUACGUGCCAGCAGCCGC